UUCGUGGUGACCUGCGGAGGAUCAUUA
This 27-nucleotide ribosomal RNA is filed under the name uncultured Herpotrichiellaceae. RNAcentral describes it as "partial 18S ribosomal RNA". Lineage: Eukaryota; Fungi; Ascomycota; Eurotiomycetes; Chaetothyriales; Herpotrichiellaceae. The record is from RNAcentral.